This is a non-coding RNA of Rhodocollybia butyracea, 96 nucleotides long. The record is from the annotation of a GenBank genome assembly. Lineage: Eukaryota; Fungi; Basidiomycota; Agaricomycetes; Agaricales; Omphalotaceae.
UCCCUGGUAGUAUAUCAGUUAAUACAUGCGCCUGUCAUAUGUUGGAAUCAAGAACUUAUUCCGUGCAAAAGCUGGGUUCGACUGCCAGCCAGGGAG